UCCUGGUGAUGAGACAGGUGCCUUGUAAAGGACUUCUCUUCUGGGAUUUCCAGAGAGAAUAGCCUCUAAAUACCAUAGAUCCAAAGUCUUAGUCAGUCAGUUACUGUAAAAGGUAAAUGCAGUUAUUUCUUAGCCCAGCCCUUUGAAGGCAGCUCACUAUUAUUAUUAGUAGUAGUAUUUAUAGCAUAGUAGUGCCUAGAGACUCCAACCAAGGGCACCAUACCGGUUUGCUAGGCACUGUACAACCACAAAAUAAGAGGCAAUGCUUGCAAUCUAAAUAGACAAGACAAAUAAGGGCUGGGAGAAAGGACGUAUAAUUAUCCCAGUUCACAAGUGAAAGCAAAGUCUGGUGCUAGCAGUCCUGCUGGAGAGAUUGCAGAAGAAAAUAAAAGAAUGAAGCACCAUCAUAAAAUGAAGGUCAAACAGUACUCUAGCCUUAAUACUGCUAUAAUGGUCACCAACGCUACUGUGUCCUCAGUUCACAAGAAUCAUAUGCUAUUCGUGCAGAUAUACUCUUCCUUCAGGACACCCCUGUCCAAGCCCCACUGCUUCAGAUCCAGAUUAACACGGCUACCCCUCUGAUACUUGACACCAUGUUUUAGUGACUAGACAGACUGACAGGCCAUAUCAUCAGGAGUUGUGACACUGUUCACAUAUUUUUAAGUAAAAAGUUUUAAUUGUGGAUGUUCACAACUGUUUGAUAAAUUGACAGAACUAGAA
Long non-coding RNA from Mauremys reevesii (Reeves's turtle), 720 nucleotides. RefSeq lists it as uncharacterized. The record is from RefSeq and is a predicted model, not a curated record. Lineage: Eukaryota; Metazoa; Chordata; Testudines; Geoemydidae. The transcript has 3 exons.